RNAcentral lists this long non-coding RNA (230 nucleotides) under Carica papaya (papaya). RNAcentral's name for it is "long non-coding RNA (CPAP_LNC006498)". The record is from RNAcentral. Lineage: Eukaryota; Viridiplantae; Streptophyta; Magnoliopsida; Brassicales; Caricaceae.
AGAGCACCAAGCGUCAGCUGCACACAUAGCCCGUGGGCAUGCAUGGGCAAGUCACUUUGCUCACCUCGCUCACACCACCCACGCACCAAAAAUGUGUAGCAUGUGCGUAACCCUACGUAUGUGUGCCAAAGAUGAGUCGCAUGCCCUACCCCUUGCACCUGCAUGACCCAAUCUCGGGCAGCAGGCUCGCACAGUCCAAUCGUUCCAAUCACGCGGUUUGCGGCCCAGCC